UACAGAGGGGGCAAGCGUUGUUCGGAAUUACUGGGCGUAAAGGGCGCGUAGGCGGCCUGCUAAGUCGAACGUGAAAUCCCUGGGCUCAACCCAGGAACUGCGUCCGAUACUGGUUGGCUUGAAUCCGGGAGAGGGAUGCGGAAUUCCAGGUGUAGCGGUGAAAUGCGUAGAUAUCUGGAGGAACACCGGUGGCGAAGGCGGCAUCCUGGACCGGCAUUGACGCUGAGGCGCGAAAGCCAGGGGAGCAAACAGG
RNAcentral lists this ribosomal RNA (253 nucleotides) under uncultured bacterium. RNAcentral's name for it is "partial 16S ribosomal RNA". It matches the Rfam family "Bacterial small subunit ribosomal RNA", at positions 524 to 776 of the family's 1533-position model. The record is from RNAcentral.